GAUGAAGAACGUAGCGAAAUGCGAUACGUAAUGUGAAUUGCAGAAUUCAGUGAAUCAUCGAAUCUUUGAACGCAUAUUGCGCUCUUUGGUAUUCCGAAGAGCAUGCUUGUUUGAGUAUCAGUAAACACCUCAAAACUUUUGGAUUUUUUAAUCGAAAAGCUUUGGACUUGAGCAAUCCCAACACCAAUCUUUUUGAGAUCGGUGGCGGGUUGCUUGAAAUGCAGGUGCAGCUGGACAUUCUCCUGAGCUAAAAGCAUAUUCAUUUAGUCCCGUCAAACGGAUUAUUACUUUUGCUGCAGCUAACAUAAAGGGAGUUUGACCGUAUUGGCUGACUGAUGCAGGAUUUCACAAGGGUCGGCAACGAUUCUUGUUAAACUCGAUCUCAAAUCAAGUAAGACUACCCGCUGAACUUAAGCAUAUCAAUAAGCGGAGGA
This 434-nucleotide unclassified non-coding RNA is filed under the name soil metagenome. RNAcentral describes it as "partial contains 5.8S ribosomal RNA, internal transcribed spacer 2, and large subunit ribosomal RNA". The stretch from base 1 to 120 matches the Rfam family "5.8S ribosomal RNA", at positions 35 to 154 of the family's 154-position model. The record is from RNAcentral.